CCUGGCGGCAGUAGCGCGGAGGUCCCACCUGACCCCAUGCCGAACUCAGAAGUGAAACGCCGUAGCGCCGAUGGUAGUGUGGGGUCUCCCCAUGCGAGAGUAGGGAACUGCCAGGC
RNAcentral lists this ribosomal RNA (116 nucleotides) under Salmonella enterica subsp. enterica serovar Enteritidis. The record is from RNAcentral. RNAcentral also lists the same sequence under 1 other name. Lineage: Bacteria; Pseudomonadati; Pseudomonadota; Gammaproteobacteria; Enterobacterales; Enterobacteriaceae.